GAGUUUGAUCCUGGCUCAGGAUGAACGCUGGCGGCGUGCCUAAUACAUGCAAGUCGAGCGAACAGAUAAGGAGCUUGCUCCUUUGACGUUAGCGGCGGACGGGUGAGUAACACGUGGGUAACCUACCUAUAAGACUGGAAUAACUCCGGGAAACCGGGGCUAAUGCCGGAUAAUAUUUAGAACCGCAUGGUUCUAAAGUGAAAGAUGGUUUUACUAUCACUUAUAGAUGGACCCGCGCCGUAUUAGCUAGUUGGUGGGGUAAUGGCUUACCAAGGCAACGAUACGUAGCCGACCUGAGAGGGUGAUCGGCCACACUGGAACUGAGACACGGUCCAGACUCCUACGGGAGGCAGCAGUAGGGAAUCUUCCGCAAUGGGCGAAAGCCUGACGGAGCAACGCCGCGUGAGUGAUGAAGGUCUUCGGAUCGUAAAACUCUGUUAUUAGGGAAGAACAAAUGUGUAAGUAACUGUGCACGUCUUGACGGUACCUAAUCAG
Molecule: ribosomal RNA, 495 nt
Filed under: uncultured bacterium
Lineage: Bacteria
Description: bacterial SSU rRNA
Rfam family: Bacterial small subunit ribosomal RNA
Source: RNAcentral